AACGAACGCUGGCGGCAGGCUUAACACAUGCAAGUCGAACGCCCCGCAAGGGGAGUGGCAGACGGGUGAGUAACGCGUGGGAACAUACCUCUCGGUACGGAAUAGCUCAGGGAAACUUGAAUUAAUACCGUAUACGCCGUAUUGGGAAAGAUUUAUCGCCGAGAGAUUGGCCCGCGUUAGAUUAGCUAGUUGGUGGGGUAAUGGCCUGGCAAGGCUACGAGCUAUAGCUGAUCUGAGAGGAUGAGCAGCCACACUGGGACUGAGACACGGACCAGACUCCUUCUGGAGGCAGCAGUGGGGAAUCUUGGACAAUGGGCGCAAGCCUGAUCCAGCCAUGCCGCGUGAAUGACGAAGGCCUUAGGGUUGUAAAGUUCUUUCACCGGGGAAGAUAAUGACGGUACCCGGGGAAGAAGCCCCGGCUAACUUCGUGCCAGCAGCCGCAGUAA
RNAcentral lists this ribosomal RNA (446 nucleotides) under uncultured bacterium. RNAcentral describes it as "partial 16S ribosomal RNA". It matches the Rfam family "Bacterial small subunit ribosomal RNA", at positions 29 to 523 of the family's 1533-position model. The record is from RNAcentral.